Molecule: ribosomal RNA, 153 nt
Filed under: Ruditapes philippinarum (Manila clam)
Lineage: Eukaryota; Metazoa; Mollusca; Bivalvia; Venerida; Veneridae
Description: partial 12S ribosomal RNA
Source: RNAcentral
GUAAUUAACUUAUUGAAGUUGUACUUGUUAGUAAAAACUAAUUAGAAUGGAGUUUUGAAUAGAGUUAUGAGACGCGUACAAAUCGCCCGGCGCCCUUAUAUUAAAAUUAAGGUAAGUCGUAACAUAGUAAUGCUAGUAGAAACUGGUGUUAAG